Molecule: ribosomal RNA, 2766 nt
Filed under: Pseudomonas aeruginosa
Lineage: Bacteria; Pseudomonadati; Pseudomonadota; Gammaproteobacteria; Pseudomonadales; Pseudomonadaceae
Description: bacterial LSU rRNA
Rfam family: Bacterial large subunit ribosomal RNA
Source: RNAcentral
AACCCACCUAGGAUAACCUAGGUAUCUUGUACUGAAUCCAUAGGUGCAAGAGGCGAACCAGGGGAACUGAAACAUCUAAGUACCCUGAGGAAAAGAAAUCAACCGAGAUUCCCUUAGUAGUGGCGAGCGAACGGGGAUUAGCCCUUAAGCUUCAUUGAUUUUAGCGGAACGCUCUGGAAAGUGCGGCCAUAGUGGGUGAUAGCCCCGUACGCGAAAGGAUCUUUGAAGUGAAAUCGAGUAGGACGGAGCACGAGAAACUUUGUCUGAACAUGGGGGGACCAUCCUCCAAGGCUAAAUACUACUGACUGACCGAUAGUGAACCAGUACCGUGAGGGAAAGGCGAAAAGAACCCCGGAGAGGGGAGUGAAAUAGAACCUGAAACCGUAUGCGUACAAGCAGUGGGAGCCUACUUGUUAGGUGACUGCGUACCUUUUGUAUAAUGGGUCAGCGACUUAUAUUCAGUGGCAAGCUUAACCGUAUAGGGUAGGCGUAGCGAAAGCGAGUCUUAAUAGGGCGUUUAGUCGCUGGGUAUAGACCCGAAACCGGGCGAUCUAUCCAUGAGCAGGUUGAAGGUUAGGUAACACUGACUGGAGGACCGAACCCACUCCCGUUGAAAAGGUAGGGGAUGACUUGUGGAUCGGAGUGAAAGGCUAAUCAAGCUCGGAGAUAGCUGGUUCUCCUCGAAAGCUAUUUAGGUAGCGCCUCAUGUAUCACUCUGGGGGGUAGAGCACUGUUUCGGCUAGGGGGUCAUCCCGACUUACCAAACCGAUGCAAACUCCGAAUACCCAGAAGUGCCGAGCAUGGGAGACACACGGCGGGUGCUAACGUCCGUCGUGAAAAGGGAAACAACCCAGACCGCCAGCUAAGGUCCCAAAGUUGUGGUUAAGUGGUAAACGAUGUGGGAAGGCUUAGACAGCUAGGAGGUUGGCUUAGAAGCAGCCAUCCUUUAAAGAAAGCGUAAUAGCUCACUAGUCGAGUCGGCCUGCGCGGAAGAUGUAACGGGGCUCAAACCACACACCGAAGCUGCGGGUGUCACGUAAGUGACGCGGUAGAGGAGCGUUCUGUAAGCCUGUGAAGGUGAGUUGAGAAGCUUGCUGGAGGUAUCAGAAGUGCGAAUGCUGACAUGAGUAACGACAAUGGGUGUGAAAAACACCCACGCCGAAAGACCAAGGGUUCCUGCGCAACGUUAAUCGACGCAGGGUUAGUCGGUUCCUAAGGCGAGGCUGAAAAGCGUAGUCGAUGGGAAACAGGUUAAUAUUCCUGUACUUCUGGUUACUGCGAUGGAGGGACGGAGAAGGCUAGGCCAGCUUGGCGUUGGUUGUCCAAGUUUAAGGUGGUAGGCUGAAAUCUUAGGUAAAUCCGGGGUUUCAAGGCCGAGAGCUGAUGACGAGUCGUCUUUUAGAUGACGAAGUGGUUGAUGCCAUGCUUCCAAGAAAAGCUUCUAAGCUUCAGGUAACCAGGAACCGUACCCCAAACCGACACAGGUGGUCGGGUAGAGAAUACCAAGGCGCUUGAGAGAACUCGGGUGAAGGAACUAGGCAAAAUGGCACCGUAACUUCGGGAGAAGGUGCGCCGGCUAGGGUGAAGGAUUUACUCCGUAAGCUCUGGCUGGUCGAAGAUACCAGGCCGCUGCGACUGUUUAUUAAAAACACAGCACUCUGCAAACACGAAAGUGGACGUAUAGGGUGUGACGCCUGCCCGGUGCCGGAAGGUUAAUUGAUGGGGUUAGCGCAAGCGAAGCUCUUGAUCGAAGCCCCGGUAAACGGCGGCCGUAACUAUAACGGUCCUAAGGUAGCGAAAUUCCUUGUCGGGUAAGUUCCGACCUGCACGAAUGGCGUAACGAUGGCGGCGCUGUCUCCACCCGAGACUCAGUGAAAUUGAAAUCGCUGUGAAGAUGCAGUGUAUCCGCGGCUAGACGGAAAGACCCCGUGAACCUUUACUGUAGCUUUGCACUGGACUUUGAGCCUGCUUGUGUAGGAUAGGUGGGAGGCUUUGAAGCGUGGACGCCAGUUCGCGUGGAGCCAUCCUUGAAAUACCACCCUGGCAUGCUUGAGGUUCUAACUCUGGUCCGUGAUCCGGAUCGAGGACAGUGUAUGGUGGGCAGUUUGACUGGGGCGGUCUCCUCCUAAAGAGUAACGGAGGAGUACGAAGGUGCGCUCAGACCGGUCGGAAAUCGGUCGCAGAGUAUAAAGGCAAAAGCGCGCUUGACUGCGAGACAGACACGUCGAGCAGGUACGAAAGUAGGUCUUAGUGAUCCGGUGGUUCUGUAUGGAAGGGCCAUCGCUCAACGGAUAAAAGGUACUCCGGGGAUAACAGGCUGAUACCGCCCAAGAGUUCAUAUCGACGGCGGUGUUUGGCACCUCGAUGUCGGCUCAUCACAUCCUGGGGCUGAAGCCGGUCCCAAGGGUAUGGCUGUUCGCCAUUUAAAGUGGUACGCGAGCUGGGUUUAGAACGUCGUGAGACAGUUCGGUCCCUAUCUGCCGUGGACGUUUGAGAUUUGAGAGGGGCUGCUCCUAGUACGAGAGGACCGGAGUGGACGAACCUCUGGUGUUCCGGUUGUCACGCCAGUGGCAUUGCCGGGUAGCUAUGUUCGGAAAAGAUAACCGCUGAAAGCAUCUAAGCGGGAAACUUGCCUCAAGAUGAGAUCUCACUGGGAACUUGAUUCCCCUGAAGGGCCGUCGAAGACUACGACGUUGAUAGGCUGGGUGUGUAAGCGUUGUGAGGCGUUGAGCUAACCAGUACUAAUUGCCCGUGAGGCUUGACCAU